This 468-nucleotide ribosomal RNA is filed under the name uncultured bacterium. RNAcentral's name for it is "partial 16S ribosomal RNA". It matches the Rfam family "Bacterial small subunit ribosomal RNA", at positions 28 to 507 of the family's 1533-position model. The record is from RNAcentral.
GACGAACGCUGGCGGCGUGCUUAACACAUGCAAGUCGAACGGAAAGGCCCUGCUUUUGUGGGGUGCUCGAGUGGCGAACGGGUGAGUAACACGUGAGUAACCUGCCCUUGACUUUGGGAUAACUUCAGGAAACUGGGGCUAAUACCGGAUAGGAGCUCCUGCUGCAUGGUGGGGGUUGGAAAGUUUCGGCGGUUGGGGAUGGACUCGCGGCUUAUCAGCUUGUUGGUGGGGUAGUGGCUUACCAAGGCUUUGACGGUUAGCCGGCCUGAGAGGGUGACCGGCCACAUUGGGACUGAGAUACGGCCCAGACUCCUACGGGAGGCAGCAGUGGGGAAUAUUGCACAAUGGGCGGAAGCCUGAUGCAGCAACGCGGCGUGCGGGAUGACGGCCUUCGGGUUGUAAACCGCUUUCGCCUGUGACGAAGCGUGAGUGACGGUAAUGGGUAAAGAAGCACCGGCUAACUACGUG